Molecule: unclassified non-coding RNA, 390 nt
Filed under: soil metagenome
Description: partial contains 5.8S ribosomal RNA, internal transcribed spacer 2, and large subunit ribosomal RNA
Rfam family: 5.8S ribosomal RNA (bases 1-122)
Source: RNAcentral
GAUGAAGAACGCAGCGAAAUGCGAUACUUGGUGUGAAUUGCAGAAUCCCGUGAACCAUCGAGUCUUUGAACGCAAGUUGCGCCCGAAGCCACUAGGCCGAGGGCACGCCUGCCUGGGCGUCACACGCCGUUGCCCCCCCAUCUACUCCUUCGGGAUUGCGGGGGGGCGGAUGAUGGCCUCCUGUGCGCCUAGCCGCGCGGUUGGCAUAAAUACCAAGUCCUCGGCGACGCACGCCACGACAAUCGGUGGUUGCGAAACCUCGGUUGCCCGUCGUGUGCGUUCGUCGCGCAUCGAGGGCUCGAAAAAAUGCUCGGCUCCGGCUGGGCUUUCAACGCGACCCCAGGUCAGGCGGGGUUACCCGCUGAAUUUAAGCAUAUCAAAAGCGGAGGA